GAUGAACGCUAGCGGGAGGCCUAACACAUGCAAGCCGAGCGGUAGAGUUUCUUCGGAAACUUGAGAGCGGCGCACGGGUGCGUAACACGUGUGCAACCUACCUUUAUCUGGGGGAUAGCCUUUCGAAAGGAAGAUUAAUACCCCAUAAUAUAAUGAUUGGAAUCAAUUAUUAUUAAAACCUCCGGUGGAUAGAGAUGGGCACGCGCAAGAUUAGAUAGUUGGUGAGGUAACGGCUCACCAAGUCAAUGAUCUUUAGGGGUCCUGAGAGGGAGAUCCCCCACACUGGUACUGAGACACGGACCAGACUCCUACGGGAGGCAGCAGUGAGGAAUAUUGGACAAUGGGUGAGAGCCUGAUCCAGCCAUCCCGCGUGAAGGAUGACGGUCCUAUGGAUUGUAAACUUCUUUUGUACAGGGAUAAACCUACCCUCGUGAGGGUAGCUGAAGGUACUGUACGAAUAAGCACCGGCUAACUCCGUG
Molecule: ribosomal RNA, 479 nt
Filed under: uncultured bacterium
Lineage: Bacteria
Description: partial 16S ribosomal RNA
Rfam family: Bacterial small subunit ribosomal RNA
Source: RNAcentral